Paramacrobiotus metropolitanus is the source of this 2543-nucleotide long non-coding RNA. RefSeq lists it as uncharacterized. The record is from RefSeq and is a predicted model, not a curated record. NCBI's taxonomy places the organism in Eukaryota, Metazoa, Tardigrada, Eutardigrada, Parachela, Macrobiotidae. The transcript has 3 exons.
CGGCGCCACCGCCCAGGAGUGUGGGUUGAGUGGGUGUUGCACCGACUCCGAUUUCGUGUUCUGUGUGAUGCUCUACGGCCAGAGAUUGGCAUUGCAUGCACAUGGCCGAGACGUUUUGAUUUCAUUCGGUUAGAUUUUGGCUCGACAGCAUGGAGACGUCCAUGCUGUACGAGAUGGCCUUCGAUAUUUGCGCAUGCUAGAGUGACCCUUCGGGGCUGUUUUGAUGUUGUGGGUUUCGUCCCUUUAUUAACAUCUGCCGAUAUUAAUAAAGCUAUCGUUUGUGGCGUCUGUGUUUUGGUUGCCUUCCUGUGCAGCGCAGGCACAGCGCUUACAUGGUGGAGAUGCGAUUUCGAUCCCCGAUCCCCCUAUCGACGCUACCUUCUUCUACACAGAUUUUGGAUGCGGGGCUUUGUCCUGCACAGCGCUUACAGUGUUUUACUCAACUGUGCGCAUCGCCGAAUUUCCUUGUACGGCCUACCGGAUUCCACGCAUACGCUACAGCGCAGUGUGGAGUGACGCCGUAUCGCGAACCCGGAAAUAUCAGCAUCGUAUCCCGACACAUCGUGGAGGACCGGAGCUGAUUUCUCCUCACCAACAGCCGACAUCUGCCUUCUUCGCACAUCGGAGGAACGACCAGACACUGGGGAUUCUUCCGUGAGGGAGCAGACAAGCGGAAACGAGAUCCUGCGUUCUAGACGACAGUCGGAAAGCAGCACACCGAACGCACCGCACCGUACAAUCGUCACGUCGUGUCAGUGCAGAUUGAAUGGAGCCGAUACCGUUCAGCGUUAUCGUAAUGAUAGCUAAUCGAACCGCCGGGCAAUAUGCCAGAUGAUUUGUUUAUCAAAUUGCCGACCGCGCCACAUGGCGACGAUGCCGAAAUUUUCCACAUUACUGUGGAAGAAAAAAGCCGACACGAUCUGUGUUUUCCGAAUUUAUUAGCGAAACACUGAGUGUUAUCGCUGGCGCCGCUGCUACCGAUCCUGCUGACACUGACGUCGACAUGGUGCUGGAUGCAACUGCUGAAUGAUCGGAAACGUGAGAUUGGAGGAUGAACGGAUUCUCCAGAAUGGAACGCACCAGUGGGAUACUUUCAUUUAUUUUUGUGAGAAAGAUAGAAUAUGCCGCCAUGUUGGGCCGCAUUUUUACUCAUUACUCUGUUCAUUUACCGACGUGUUUUGAUUUUGUUUAUUGCUGUGCUAUGGCCUCGAGGGACCUCGGCGUCCCGCCCCGUGGCAUGUCAGGAGAUCGGCGCCACCGCCCAGGAGUGUGGGUUGAGUGGGUGUUGCACCGACUCCGAUUUCGUGUUCUGUGUGAUGCUCUACGGCCAGAGAUUGGCAUUGCAUGCACAUGGCCGAGACGUUUUGAUUUCAUUCGGUUAGAUUUUGGCUCGACAGCAUGGAGACGUCCAUGCUGUACGAGAUGGCCUUCGAUAUUUGCGCAUGCUAGAGUGACCCUUCGGGGCUGUUUUGAUGUUGUGGGUUUCGUCCCUUUAUUAACAUCUGCCGAUAUUAAUAAAGCUAUCGUUUGUGGCGUCUGUGUUUUGGUUGCCUUUCUGUGCAGCGCAGGCACAGCGCUUACACCGCUUAACUACCCUAGUCUUUGUGCAAAACCAAGUUUUUUUUUUUUGCAGCGGUAUUUUAAUUUUAUGCUCGAUUUUUGGGCUCAUGUGUAUUGUGGAAAUGCGUUCCUUUGAGGAAUGGAACCACCCUGAAAUUUUUAUCCACACCGGUGAGCAUCUGAACAUUACCGCCGACAGAAUUUUGGCAGAAUACGCCGCAGCGCCAACCACCACGCCUAAGGCUAUUAGCACUACAUACGAUGACUGGUACAAUGGGCGGAUUCCUAUUCAGUAGCAUGGGAUCAUCAUGAAGUAUUCAUCCAUACUGCUAAGCAGGAGCAUCAGGACCUGAUCGCCGAAGGAUGAAUAACGCCAGACCCAACCGCCGCAGCGCCGAUCAUCUGGACUUCUCAGAAUGACGUUUUACAAUUGGUGGGUUCAGUGGGGCGAUUCCUAUUCAAUAAGCCCUGGGGACUGGAUAGCGCAACGUCUCAAGCACUUGGUGUUUGAAUUUUUAUGGUCACGAAACUUGCGGCAUACACGGCAUGUACUAUUAUAAAAGAAGCAAAUAGAUCUCUUGCAUGAACUUUGCUCCAACUCUAAAUCACGCAUUUGUCGAAGUCAUGCUGUUAAAGAUAGCGGUACAUACAUACAAAACACAUCUUGACGAAUCAUCGCACUAGUACCAGUAGUGGUGAUCACUGAUAAGUAUGCCCAUUGCAUGUGAUUGGAUCAGCACACCACCAUCAACGGACAGAAUAAGAUUUCUUUCAACGGAAUAAAAAUCAGUGUUCGGCGUUAGUGACGCUAUUAUUUGUAGUUGUGACAGAGUAAAGUCCGCAGUUCUAUAGAAGUAUUUAUUGCAUCGCGCAUAUCGGAUUCGGAUACAUAAGGACCAGUGAGACCAUGUUCAUCAGUGAGACCAUGUUCAUUAGUACGCUUUUCUAAGCGCGCAAGCCGUAAUGUUGCAAGGGGCACAUCG